This 91-nucleotide ribosomal RNA is filed under the name Tetramolopium stemmermanniae. Lineage: Eukaryota; Viridiplantae; Streptophyta; Magnoliopsida; Asterales; Asteraceae. The record is from RNAcentral.
CCCGUGAGGCGACAUACGGGUGAACAAAUGGAGGAGGGAGUUUCCUGGGCAAGGGAUAAAAGAAUAAAAAGCGGAACGUAUUUCGGUUGCG